This 301-nucleotide ribosomal RNA is filed under the name uncultured bacterium. RNAcentral describes it as "partial 16S ribosomal RNA". It matches the Rfam family "Bacterial small subunit ribosomal RNA", at positions 509 to 807 of the family's 1533-position model. The record is from RNAcentral.
CAGUCGCCACGGUAAAACGGAGGGUGCGAGCGUUAAUCGGAUUUACUGGGCGUAAAGCGUGCGUAGGCGGCUUUUUAAGUCGGAUGUGAAAUCCCUGAGCUUAACUUAGGAAUUGCAUUCGAUACUGGGAAGCUAGAGUAUGGGAGAGGAUGGUAGAAUUCCAGGUGUAGCGGUGAAAUGCGUAGAGAUCUGGAGGAAUACCGAUGGCGAAGGCAGCCAUCUGGCCUAAUACUGACGCUGAGGUACGAAAGCAUGGGGAGCAAACAGGAUUAGAUACCCCCGUAGUCCCUGUCUCUUAUAC